Molecule: ribosomal RNA, 435 nt
Filed under: uncultured Alphaproteobacteria bacterium
Lineage: Bacteria; Pseudomonadati; Pseudomonadota; Alphaproteobacteria
Description: bacterial SSU rRNA
Rfam family: Bacterial small subunit ribosomal RNA
Source: RNAcentral
CGGUGGAGCAUGUGGUUUAAUUCGAAGCAACGCGCAGAACCUUACCAACCUUUGACAUGUCCGGUUUGGGUUCCGAGAUGGUCUAGGCCGGAACAGGUGUGACGAGCGCAACCCUCGCCCUUAGUUGCCAUCGGGAUGUCAAGUCUCAUGGCCCUUACAGGUUGGCUACAUACAUGGCGGUGACAUGGGCAGCGAAGGGGCGACCUGGAGCUUCCCAAAAAGCCGUCUCAGUUCGGAUUGCACUGCAACUCGAGUGCAUGAAGGUGGAAUCGCUAGUAAUCGGGAUCAGAACGCCACGGUGAAUACGUUCCCGGGCCUUGUACACACCGCCGUCACACCAUGGGAGUUGGUCUUACCCGACGGCGCUGCGCCAACCUAGCGAUAGGGGGCAGGCGACCACGUAGGGUCAGCGACUGGGGUGAAGUCGUACAAGGU